CGCCUUGCCAGCCCGCUCAGAACUCAAAGGAAGUUGACGGGGCCCGCACAAGCGGUGGAGUAUGUGGUUAAUUCGAUGCAACGCGAAGAACCUUACCUGGUCUUGACAUCCCGGAGACCCUUAGGAAACUAGGGGGUGCUUCCAUCUGGAAGAAUCUGGAGACAGGUGCUGCAUGGCUGUCGUCAGCUCGUGUCGUGAGAUGUUGGGUUAAGUCCCGCAACGAGCGCAACCCUUGCCUUUAGUUGCCAGCAGUUCGGCUGGGCACUCUAAAGGGACUGCCGGUGUUAAACCGGAGGAAGGUGGGGAUGACGUCAAGUCCUCAUGGCCUUUAUGACCAGGGCUACACACGUACUACAAUGGCCGAUACAAAGGGCAGCGACACUGCGAGGUGAAGCCAAUCCCGUAAAAUCGGUCUCAGUCCGGAUUGGAGUCUGCAACUCGACUCCAUGAAGUUGGAAUCGCUAGUAAUCGUGGAUCAGCAUGCCACGGUGAAUACGUUCCCGGGCCUU
RNAcentral lists this ribosomal RNA (509 nucleotides) under uncultured Desulfobulbus sp. RNAcentral describes it as "bacterial SSU rRNA". It matches the Rfam family "Bacterial small subunit ribosomal RNA", at positions 903 to 1382 of the family's 1533-position model. The record is from RNAcentral. Lineage: Bacteria; Pseudomonadati; Thermodesulfobacteriota; Desulfobulbia; Desulfobulbales; Desulfobulbaceae.